GACCCCAUCGUCCAGUGGUUAGGACUCCAGAUUUUCGAUCUGGCAACACGGGUUCGACCCCCGUUGGGGUCG
RNAcentral lists this transfer RNA (72 nucleotides) under Candidatus Omnitrophota bacterium. RNAcentral's name for it is "tRNA-Glu". It matches the Rfam family "tRNA". From Rfam's summary of the family: Transfer RNA (tRNA) molecules are approximately 80 nucleotides in length. Their secondary structure includes four short double-helical elements and three loops (D, anti-codon, and T loops). Lineage: Bacteria; Pseudomonadati; Candidatus Omnitrophota. The record is from RNAcentral.